RNAcentral lists this non-coding RNA (20 nucleotides) under Arabidopsis thaliana (thale cress). The record is from RNAcentral. Lineage: Eukaryota; Viridiplantae; Streptophyta; Magnoliopsida; Brassicales; Brassicaceae.
GUGAAGAAAUAAACAGAUGG